RNAcentral lists this long non-coding RNA (749 nucleotides) under Heterocephalus glaber (naked mole-rat). RNAcentral describes it as "lncRNA (ENSHGLG00100037929.1)". Lineage: Eukaryota; Metazoa; Chordata; Mammalia; Rodentia; Bathyergidae. The record is from RNAcentral.
GGAAGAAAGUGCCACCGCCUGAGCAGCUGUCUCAGAAGUGACAGAAGCAGGAACUCGGGUGGAGCCACUGCGCAAGCCGAGGGCGGCGCCCGCUCGGGGCUCCGCACCUGAGGGAGUCUUCAAGCCGCCGCGCAGACCGCGCAAGCGCCCUGCCGCUCAGCCCCGCCCCGCCUUCGCCCUGCUCUUGCAAACGCUUUAUAAACCUAAGUGCAACUUCGUACGCAAGGGUCUCAAAGCGAUCCUCCCAUCUCAGCCUCCGAGUGCUGGGAUCACAGAUGUGCACCACCACGCCAGCUGCCUCUUGAUUGGGCUGCAGAAUCCAUUCACAUCCACUGUAAUUGCUAUUAAGGUUAAGGUUCGAUGCUUGUUUUGUUACUUUUCCCGUAUGGUCCCUGUUUUGUGCCUCUAGUCCUCGAAUCCUGCUUUCCUGUAAAAUAUUUUCUAAGUUACCUUUUGAAUUCCCUUUCUGUUUCAGUUACAAGACUUUUUGAGUUAACGUCUUAGUAGUUUCCCUGGGGAUAACAACUAGCAUCUUAAUUUCUAGUUAAGAUCUAAACCAAGCUAGUCCGAGUUAACUCUAAUUUUAAUAGUAUAUAAAAUUUUUCCUCCAAUAUAGCCCACUUUCCUCCCACUUUCGCACACACCAUUGUCAUACAAGUUACACCCUGACCCAACAGUUUUGUAAUUAUUGCUAUAUGUGGUAAAAGCACGAAGACAAAGUUACAACAAAAUGUUUCGUUUGUCACCCU